GUAGGUGGCAAGCGUUGUCCGGAAUUAUUGGGCGUAAAGCGCGCGCAGGCGGUUCUUUAAGUCUGAUGUGAAAGCCCACGGCUCAACCGUGGAGGGUCAUUGGAAACUGGAGAACUUGAGUACAGAAGAGGAAAGCGGAAUUCCACGUGUAGCGGUGAAAUGCGUAGAGAUGUGGAGGAACACCAGUGACGAAGGCGGCUUUCUGGUCUGUAACUGACGCUGAGGCGCGAAAGCGUGGGGAGCAAACAGGAUUAGAUACCCUGGUAGUCCACGCCGUAAACGAUGAGUGAUAAGUGUUAGGGGGUUUCCGCCCCCCUUAGUGCUGCAGCUAACGCAUUAAGCACUCCGCCUGGGAGUACGGCCGCAAGGCUG
Molecule: ribosomal RNA, 372 nt
Filed under: uncultured organism
Description: partial 16S ribosomal RNA
Rfam family: Bacterial small subunit ribosomal RNA
Source: RNAcentral